AUUGAACGCUGGCGGCAGGCCUAACACAUGCAAGUCGAGCGGAUGAAUGGAGCUUGCUUGCGGUUUCCGCGGCGGACGGGUGCGUAAUGCCUAGGAAUCUGCCUGGCAGUGGGUGAUCACGUCCGGAAACGGGCGCUAAUACCGCAUACGCCCUGAGGGAGAAAGUGGGGGAUCUUCGGACCUCACGCUAUCAUAUGAGCCUAGGUCGGAUUCGCUAGUUGGUGGGGUAAAGGCCUACCAAGGCGACGAUCCGUAACUGGUCUGAGAGGAUGAUCAGUCACACUGGAACUGAAACGCGGUCCGGACUACUACGGGAGGCGGCGGUGGGGAGUAUUGGACAAUGGGCGGAAGCUUAGUCCGACCAUGCCGAGUGGGUGGAGAAGGUCUUCGGAUUGGAGAGCACUUCUGGUUGGGAGGAAGGGCAGUAAGUUAAUACCUUGCGGUUUUGACGUUACCAAAAGAAUAAGCACCGGCUAACUUCGUG
Molecule: ribosomal RNA, 484 nt
Filed under: uncultured bacterium
Lineage: Bacteria
Description: partial 16S ribosomal RNA
Rfam family: Bacterial small subunit ribosomal RNA
Source: RNAcentral